RNAcentral lists this transfer RNA (85 nucleotides) under Felis catus (domestic cat). It matches the Rfam family "tRNA". Rfam says of the family: Transfer RNA (tRNA) molecules are approximately 80 nucleotides in length. Their secondary structure includes four short double-helical elements and three loops (D, anti-codon, and T loops). Further hydrogen bonds mediate the characteristic L-shaped molecular structure. tRNAs have two regions of fundamental functional importance: the anti-codon, which is responsible for specific mRNA codon recognition, and the 3' end, to which the tRNAs corresponding amino acid is attached (by aminoacyl-tRNA synthetases). tRNAs cope with the degeneracy of the genetic code in two manners: having more than one tRNA (with a specific anti-codon) for a particular amino acid; and 'wobble' base-pairing, i.e. permitting non-standard base-pairing at the 3rd anti-codon position. Lineage: Eukaryota; Metazoa; Chordata; Mammalia; Carnivora; Felidae. The record is from Rfam by way of RNAcentral.
GCUGGAGUGGCUUAGUCGACAGAGCAUCUGACUUAAGCUCAGGUCAUGAUCUCAUGGCUUGUGAGUUGGAGCUCCACCUCAGGCU